Molecule: ribosomal RNA, 497 nt
Filed under: uncultured bacterium
Lineage: Bacteria
Description: partial 16S ribosomal RNA
Rfam family: Bacterial small subunit ribosomal RNA
Source: RNAcentral
GAUGAACGCUGGCGGCGUGCCUAAUACAUGCAAGUCGAGCGAACAGACGAGGAGCUUGCUCCUCUGACGUUAGCGGCGGACGGGUGAGUAACACGUGGAUAACCUACCUAUAAGACUGGGAUAACUUCGGGAAACCGGAGCUAAUACCGGAUAAUAUAUUGAACCGCAUGGUUCAAUAGUGAAAGACGGUUUUGCUGUCACUUAUAGAUGGAUCCGCGCCGCAUUAGCUAGUUGGUAAGGUAACGGCUUACCAAGGCAACGAUGCGUAGCCGACCUGAGAGGGGGAUCGGCCACACUGGAACUGAGACACGGUCCAGAGUCCUACGGGAGGCAGCAGUAGGGAAUCUUCCGCAAUGGGCGAAAGCAUGACGGAGCAACGCCGCGUGAGUGAUGAAGGUCUUCGGAUCGUAAAACUCUGUUAUUAGGGAAGAACAAAUGUGUAAGUAACUAUGCACGUAUUGACGGUACCUAAUCAGAAAGCCACGGCUAACUACGUG